ACAGGGUGACAGCCCCGUACACAAAAAUGCACAUGCUGUGAGCUCGAUGAGUAGGGCGGGACACGUGGUAUCCUGUCUGAAUAUGGGGGGACCAUCCUCCAAGGCUAAAUACUCCUGACUGACCGAUAGUGAACCAGUACCGUGAGGGAAAGGCGAAAAGAACCCCGGCGAGGGGAGUGAAAAAGAACCUGAAACCGUGUACGUACAAGCAGUGGGAGCACGCUUCGGCGUGUGACUGCGUACCUUUUGUAUAAUGGGUCAGCGACUUAUAUUCUGUAGCAAGGUUAACCGAAUAGGGGAGCCGAAGGGAAACCGAGUCUUAACUGGGCGUUAAGUUGCAGGGUAUAGACCCGAAACCCGGUGAUCUAGCCAUGGGCAGGUUGAAGGUUGGGUAACACUAACUGGAGGACCGAACCGACUAAUGUUGAAAAAUUAGCGGAUGACUUGUGGCUGGGGGUGAAAGGCCAAUCAAACCGGGAGAUAGCUGGUUCUCCCCGAAAGCUAUUUAGGUAGCGCCUCGUGAAUUCAUCUCCGGGGGUAGAGCACUGUUUCGGCAAGGGGGUCAUCCCGACUUACCAACCCGAUGCAAACUGCGAAUACCGGAGAAUGUUAUCACGGGAGACACACGGCGGGUGCUAACGUCCGUCGUGAAGAGGGAAACAACCCAGACCGCCAGCUAAGGUCCCAAAGUCAUGGUUAAGUGGGAAACGAUGUGGGAAGGCCCAGACAGCCAGGAUGUUGGCUUAGAAGCAGCCAUCAUUUAAAGAAAGCGUAAUAGCUCACUGGUCGAGUCGGCCUGCGCGGAAGAUGUAACGGGGCUAAACCAUGCACCGAAGCUGCGGCAGCGACGCUGAUGCGUUGUUGGGUAGGGGAGCGUUCUGUAAGCCUGCGAAGGUGUGCUGUGAGGCAUGCUGGAGGUAUCAGAAGUGCGAAUGCUGACAUAAGUAACGAUAAAGCGGGUGAAAAGCCCGCUCGCCGGAAGACCAAGGGUUCCUGUCCAACGUUAAUCGGGGCAGGGUGAGUCGACCCCUAAGGCGAGGCCGAAAGGCGUAGUCGAUGGGAAACAGGUUAAUAUUCCUGUACUUGGUGUUACUGCGAAGGGGGGACGGAGAAGGCUAUGUUGGCCGGGCGACGGUUGUCCCGGUUUAAGCGUGUAGGCUGGUUUUCCAGGCAAAUCCGGAAAAUCAAGGCUGAGGCGUGAUGACGAGGCACUACGGUGCUGAAGCAACAAAUGCCCUGCUUCCAGGAAAAGCCUCUAAGCAUCAGGUAACAUCAAAUCGUACCCCAAACCGACACAGGUGGUCAGGUAGAGAAUACCAAGGCGCUUGAGAGAACUCGGGUGAAGGAACUAGGCAAAAUGGUGCCGUAACUUCGGGAGAAGGCACGCUGAUAUGUAGGUGAGGUCCCUCGCGGAUGGAGCUGAAAUCAGUCGAAGAUACCAGCUGGCUGCAACUGUUUAUUAAAAACACAGCACUGUGCAAACACGAAAGUGGACGUAUACGGUGUGACGCCUGCCCGGUGCCGGAAGGUUAAUUGAUGGGGUCAGCGCAAGCGAAGCUCUUGAUCGAAGCCCCGGUAAACGGCGGCCGUAACUAUAACGGUCCUAAGGUAGCGAAAUUCCUUGUCGGGUAAGUUCCGACCUGCACGAAUGGCGUAAUGAUGGCCAGGCUGUCUCCACCCGAGACUCAGUGAAAUUGAACUCGCUGUGAAGAUGCAGUGUACCCGCGGCAAGACGGAAAGACCCCGUGAACCUUUACUAUAGCUUGACACUGAACAUUGAGCCUUGAUGUGUAGGAUAGGUGGGAGGCUUUGAAGUGUGGACGCCAGUCUGCAUGGAGCCGACCUUGAAAUACCACCCUUUAAUGUUUGAUGUUCUAACGUUGACCCGUAAUCCGGGUUGCGGACAGUGUCUGGUGGGUAGUUUGACUGGGGCGGUCUCCUCCUAAAGAGUAACGGAGGAGCACGAAGGUUGGCUAAUCCUGGUCGGACAUCAGGAGGUUAGUGCAAUGGCAUAAGCCAGCUUGACUGCGAGCGUGACGGCGCGAGCAGGUGCGAAAGCAGGUCAUAGUGAUCCGGUGGUUCUGAAUGGAAGGGCCAUCGCUCAACGGAUAAAAGGUACUCCGGGGAUAACAGGCUGAUACCGCCCAAGAGUUCAUAUCGACGGCGGUGUUUGGCACCUCGAUGUCGGCUCAUCACAUCCUGGGGCUGAAGUAGGUCCCAAGGGUAUGGCUGUUCGCCAUUUAAAGUGGUACGCGAGCUGGGUUUAGAACGUCGUGAGACAGUUCGGUCCCUAUCUGCCGUGGGCGCUGGAGAACUGAGGGGGGCUGCUCCUAGUACGAGAGGACCGGAGUGGACGCAUCACUGGUGUUCGGGUUGUCAUGCCAAUGGCACUGCCCGGUAGCUAAAUGCGGAAGAGAUAAGUGCUGAAAGCAUCUAAGCACGAAACUUGCCCCGAGAUGAGUUCUCCCUGACCCUUUAAGGGUCCUGAAGGAACGUUGAAGACGACGACGUUGAUAGGCCGGGUGUGUAAGCGCAGCGAUGCGUUGAGCUAACCGGUACUAAUGAACCGUGAG
This 2573-nucleotide ribosomal RNA is filed under the name Escherichia coli. Its description in RNAcentral is "partial 23S ribosomal RNA". It matches the Rfam family "Bacterial large subunit ribosomal RNA", at positions 359 to 2915 of the family's 2925-position model. The record is from RNAcentral. Lineage: Bacteria; Pseudomonadati; Pseudomonadota; Gammaproteobacteria; Enterobacterales; Enterobacteriaceae.